AAGACCUUGCGUUUUUGGAGCGGCCGAUGUCUGAUUAGCUAGUUGGUGGGGUAAUGGCCUACCAAGGCUUCGAUCAGUAGCUGGUCUGAGAGGACGGCCAGCCACACUGGGACUGAGACACGGCCCAGACUCCUACGGGAGGCAGCAGUGGGGAAUUUUGGACAAUGGGCGCAAGCCUGAUCCAGCCAUGCCGCGUGAGUGAAGGAGGCCUUCGGGUUGUAAAGCUCUUUCAGCCGAGAAGAAAAGUUUGCGACUAAUAAUCGCAAUUCAUGACGGUACCGGCAGAAGAAGCACCGGCUAACUACGUGCCAGCAGCCGCGGUAAUACGUAGGGUGCGAGCGUUAAUCGGAAUUACUGGGCGUAAAGGGUGCGCAGGCGGUUUUGUAAGUCAGAUGUGAAAUCCCCGGGCUUAACCUGGGAACU
This 423-nucleotide ribosomal RNA is filed under the name uncultured bacterium. RNAcentral describes it as "bacterial SSU rRNA". It matches the Rfam family "Bacterial small subunit ribosomal RNA", at positions 207 to 622 of the family's 1533-position model. The record is from RNAcentral.